RNAcentral lists this long non-coding RNA (1777 nucleotides) under Arabidopsis thaliana (thale cress). RNAcentral describes it as "ncRNA (AT1G74545)". The record is from RNAcentral. Lineage: Eukaryota; Viridiplantae; Streptophyta; Magnoliopsida; Brassicales; Brassicaceae.
UCUUGGGUUUUACAUAGCUACAUCUUCGUGUCCAUUAUGAGAGUCUUCAUGGUAUAUGGAUUUUGAUUAUCUUAUCUUAUGUGUCUGAUUGUUUAUCUAUUUUAAUCUAAAGGUAAAGGUAUUGCUCUUGCGGCAGCUCUCGGCAAAGCUAGAGCCUGCAAUGGAGUCCUCAUGUUACAAAGCAAUCCAGGAUUCUCGCUCAUGUCAAUCCUCUCUCCAGGAACAGGGGAACUCCAUGAGAAGCAAUGCAACAAAUUUCCCAUCACCAAUGUCAUCAAGUUCAUGCUGAGCUGUGCCGCUGGACACAUCCGUCUUCCUGAUCCAAAUGGAAGAACCCUAAAGUCUCGACCUUUAACAUCGGUUUCUUCCUGAAGGAACCGCUCUGGUCUGAACUCAUAUGGGUUUAUCCAGUUUGCAGGGUCCCGCCCAAUCGCCUGCACAUUGACAUAAACUGUGGCUCCCUUAGGAACCUUGUACCCACCUACCCAAACAGUUUCACUUGCUUUGUGUGGAAGCAUUAAUGGUGUUGACGGGUGAAGCCGGAGAGCUUCUUUAACCACACAUUGCAGAUAUGGCAGUAUGGGGAUAUCUGAUUCAGUCAUUAACCUUUCGGAUCCAACCACAGAAUCAAGCUCCUGUUGCGCCUUUUCUUGCACGGUCGGGCAUUUGAUCAUCUCUGCCAUAGCCCAUUCGAUAACAACUGCAGUUGUGUCAGCACCCGCGGUUAACAUGUUCCAGACUAGUCCCCCAACCGUCUCUUCGCUCAGCUCUUUCUGCUCUUUUAACACCAACAAUUUCCGAACAAAUCCCCUGUGAUCCUCUAUUUCUAUAUCUUCUUCCACCAUAAUAGCUCCUCUAAACCACUUUGUUCUCCGAUCCUUGUGCGCUAAGAAUUCCUUAUCACUAAAGAACCAAGAAGAAACCCAUUUGAGCCACCAGACGUGAUCAAGAAUCGUCCCUGAGCCACUGAGAAGAUGUUCUUUCUCAACGAUGGCUUUAAACUCUUUUCCUUCCUCAGACCCGAACUCUUUCCCUAUCAUUAACCUUGAGAUGGUAUUCAAAACAACCGCAGCUAGGUACUUCCUCACAAUCACCGGUUUUCGCUCCUGAUCAUCCCCUGAAUUGCUCAUUAAGUCCUUCAGAAUCGACACAACCAUCGAUCUUGCUUCCAUCUCUCUCAAGGACCUGAAAUUUUCGAUGCUUUUCAGAGAGAAGAGCUCGAGUGUACAGAGUUUCCUCAGUUUCACAUAAUGUGGACUGUAAUCGGACCAAACAAGAUCAGUACCGGUCUGAGUCAUCCUUGCGAUCCUGUGUCGGUUAGACAACUGAUGGUCUUUGUCUCUCAACACUUGUCUGGCUAGAUCAGAGCUCGAGACCACGACAGUGAGCUGUGACCCUAUCCACACCGAUAUGAUAGGACCAUAAGUCUCUGACCACUCCGAGAAAGAAUGCGUCCAAAGUGGUUUCAUUUGAUGAAGGUUUCCAAGCAGAAACUUUGGUUUUGGUCCCGGCGGUAUGUUGGAUCUCCACCAUCGUUGAUAAAGCAUGAGGGUGGCGACGAUGAUAGGGAGUAAUGAAAUUAGAUAUAUAAUCAUUUUUGCUUCGACGAUGUGAAACAACAGUUAUUGAUGUAAGUUUGAUGUACAUUGUAACAUCUACCUUACACUGAAGUUUUUAUACGCAAACUGUAAAACAUAGAAGAAAGUUUUUGAUAUUUACUUACGUAAGUGUAGAGAAACACAACUUUGGUAUGCGCAUGAAAAUACCAUGGUUUGGC